GACAGAGGGGGCAAGCGUUGCUCGGAAUCACUGGGCGUAAAGGGCGCGUAGGCGGGAUGACAAGUCGGUCGUGAAAUCCCUGGGCUCAACUCAGGGGGGUCGGCCGAUACUGCCAUUCUUGAGGGAUGCAGAGGAGACUGGAAUACCCGGUGUAGCGGUGAAAUGUGUAGAGAUCGGGAGGAACACCGGUGGCGAAGGCGGGUCUCUGGGCAUUCCCUGACGCUGAGGCGCGAAAGCGUGGGGAGCAAACGGG
RNAcentral lists this ribosomal RNA (253 nucleotides) under uncultured bacterium. Its description in RNAcentral is "partial 16S ribosomal RNA". It matches the Rfam family "Bacterial small subunit ribosomal RNA", at positions 524 to 776 of the family's 1533-position model. The record is from RNAcentral.